Molecule: RNA transcript, 1620 nt
Organism: Puntigrus tetrazona (Sumatra barb)
Lineage: Eukaryota; Metazoa; Chordata; Actinopteri; Cypriniformes; Cyprinidae
Gene name: transcription factor 7-like
Exons: 4
Source: RefSeq, a predicted model, not a curated record
GGAGCUUGCAGUGUAUUUUUUUAACAUUCCAAGACCAUUAUGGAUAAACACCCCAAAAUGAGAGCUAAGAAGAGGUUCAGAAACGAUGAAAAAGACUCAGCAACUGACGAACCGGUGCCAAAAUGUGCCACAGCAGAGGAAAACUACAUUUUGAAGAAACCCGGUCCUUCUUUCACGAACCCCGCUGUCAAAACUGAACGAGUCAGUGAACCAACUGAAGUUAACAGCUUGACAACGAAUGAAGGCUUUUACUCGACCAACAGGUCAUUAACGGGGGAUUUUGGGACUAAACAGCACAUCGCCGACUUGGUUACAUUUCCAGUUUAUCCCUCGGGUCUAACUUCAAUGGUGCUAACCACUGAUAACGCGCUUUCCUCUUUUAGCGCAACUUCUCAGGCUUUCCCAGUUCAAGACAAGACGCAGCCAUUUAACUGUAAUUUGUCCAGUGACGCGCCUUUCCCAAAAAUAAACUAUCAGCCAAUCAGCAAUGCCUAUUUUCCGAUAGUAACCUAUCAACCAAUCAGCGCAGCGUCUGUAACAAACCGUGAGCCAAUCGGCGAAGCUCCCGUGUAUCCCAAUACCCGAGGUCUGAACUUCAAUCAGCCGCCUUCUGGAACAGAAAGUGAAGUGGCAGGAAUUCAGAAGAAAAAUGCUCCUAUCAAAAGGCCCAUGAAUGCCUUCUUCUUAUGGUCAAAGAUCCACCGACCCACCUUGUCUAAAGCCAACCCUAACGCUAGUAACUGCGACAUCAGUGUUCAGCUGGGGCUGGAAUGGCACAAACUGUCUGAAGAGCAGAAGAAGCCAUACUACGAAGAAGCCCGCCGAAUCAUGGCACAACACAUGGAGAAGUACCGAGAUUGGGUCUAUCGGCCAUGCAGAGAAAAAAAGAAGCAUUCCACAUCACUGAGGUCAGAGGUCGUCCCUUCGGCCCAAACCUCCUCACUCUUUUUUCCGAGAUGGGUACAGAGACCUAACCCUUACCCAGAGCCCCUAACAUCAGCGAGAGAGCAGCACGGUUUAAAAUAUCCAGGUUGUACUUAUUUAUAUGAAUAUUUCAGGUUCAUUACAAAUCAAUCUCAGCCUACCACAAUUGUUGCCAAAUGUUACCACACACAAAAAAUGCACUCUGCAAAUGAUGAGGUACUUAAGCCCAGAGUAUGCUUUGGUUUUUAUGUGUACGGUAGAGUACAGUACAUGUCAUUAUCAGCAGUGUGUAAAAAGCACAAGUAUUCUUUUUGUUGAUGAUCAAAUGCAGUAAUUUUGCAAGAUUAAAUAUAAAGACGUCACAAGUAACGACUUAAUUUCAUUCGCUGUAGAGCGAGUAUGAUAAAAAGGUCUUUUAGCUAGCUCACAGGUAUACUACUGAUCUAUAAACGCUCUAAAAAGGUUGAAAUCACCGGUUAUUCUUGAUUGGGUGGUUAUGAUAUGAAGCCAAAUUACGUCUUACGCUAAAAACGACGCCGUUUUUUUGUCAGCCAACAUUAACCAGGCCAUCGAGAUGCAGAAAGCUUUCAUCAACACAGAUCAAUGCCCUCUCUCUGCCCCAUGCUGUAUCUUCUCUGCAGACCUCCACAAGACUGGACAGCGGUUCUACCUGGCAGAAUCCAUUCCAUGUUCAAG